GCGCGUAAACCCAUGUUUAUGCCCAUUUUUGCCGGUAAUGUCAACGCGCUACUAUUACCCGUGUCUGCCCCCUUAACCGGAAGUCAAUCGGCGCGCGGCAACCGAUCCGGUGCCAGAUCGCUCUGAAGGCGGUUGCGUUCGUCUUCACCGCCAUUACGUUCGUUAUUACGUUACUACCAUUUUUGCGUGUACAUGUCCGCAACGCCAUCCUUGCGGCCCCUCGAAAUACGAGAAGGUCGCCGCAAGGAUCAUCGGGGGUAAUUUCUAGCCUCCGAAGAUUUACCAGGAACGAACGCAAGAACUGCGUGGCCUACAUGCAAACGGCGGCAUAACUAAAAGACGGAAACUUGGGAAGUCGGACAGUGGACCAGAACGGGUGGACCAGAGAAGAUGUUCAAAUUUUGAAAUAAACAGAAUAAUCCGUAAUUGUUUAAGCACCAUGUGGUCCGGCUCCCAUUCAUACAACGGAUGAACUGUAAAGUCAAAUUAUCACAUCUGACUCGCGUGGCUCGUCGCCUAAAGAUGGUCGAAAUAUUAAUCUUUUGACUAAAAUCUGUAGACUUUGAGAUGCACCAGCCGUACCUACCAUACGGUAGGAAAUCAGACGGACACCGAGAACAGUGAAACUAUUCGUUAGACGUGCAUUUAAGAAAAGCAUAUACAAGAUAAUUAAAAAACCGUCUGUAA
Osmia lignaria (orchard mason bee) is the source of this 687-nucleotide long non-coding RNA. RefSeq lists it as uncharacterized. Lineage: Eukaryota; Metazoa; Arthropoda; Insecta; Hymenoptera; Megachilidae. The record is from RefSeq and is a predicted model, not a curated record.